Molecule: long non-coding RNA, 4189 nt
Filed under: Homo sapiens (human)
Lineage: Eukaryota; Metazoa; Chordata; Mammalia; Primates; Hominidae
Description: HSALNT0185848
Source: RNAcentral
GGACACAUGAGUAUGCAGUAAAAGUAUCAAAACAUGCACAGGAACUACCAUCAGAAGCCUAAAGAAGUGGCUUUUCGGGUGCAGUGGCUCACGUCUGUAAUCCUAGCACUUUGUGGGGCUCAGGCAAGUAGACUGCUUGAGCCCCGGAGUUCGAGACCAGCCUGGGCAACAUGGCGAAACCCUGCCUCAACAAAAACCACAAAAAUUAGCCAGGCACGGUGGCGUGUGCCUGUGCUCCCAGCUACCCAUGAGGCUGAGGUGGGAGGAUCACCUGAACCCAGGAGGUCAAGGCUGCAGUAAGCCAUGAUCACACCACUGCAUUCCAGCCUGCGUGACAGUGAGGCGCUGUCACAAAAAAGAAGAAGGAAGAAAGAAGAAGGAGGAGAAGGAGAAGGAGAAGCUUUUCUGGUUGGGGUCAGACAGAAGAAUAGUGGAGCAUGGCAAUGAGCAGUGAGGGGAGUUCCACCAGGGAUUCAAUUACUUCUAACAUGUUUUGCGAAAUACGGCAAACUUUAAGAUUUUAAAACUGGCAGCGAUCGCUUCUCAGCCUUUUGGCUAAGGUCAUAUGUAAAACUGGUGGUUUUUGGUGCCAAGACCCCUUCUGGUCCAAUUGUAACUAAGUAAAUAUAGAAGCCAAGAAAAAUUAAAUGGAAUUUUUGGAACUUGAUCCUGGAUGUGCUGCAAGCUGAGGACAGAAAUAUUUGGACUGUUGAAAGUGGGGUGUCGGCUUGUUUACUUUAGGGUCCUUCCCAUCCUACAGAACUCUGGCCAGUGUUAGAGUCAGACUGGCUUCGAGGCUCCUUGGAAAGAUCAAAGUUCAGCGUGAUCUGUCCAAAUACUUCUCCUUUUACAAUGUAUCAUAUGGAGAAAAUUAGGUGACAGCCCCCUUUUAAGACAGAACCGCUUCAAAAACUCCAUGUACCAGAAAAACUGGUUAGAAAAGUGGAAUUUGAAACCAUGUCAAAGAAACAGAUGCACAAGUACUGAUAAGUGCUCUCUAAGGACCUUUAACUCCAACAUUAGUUGGCUCUCUGAUUGCAAGGAAGCUCUACAAGAUGCCUACAGUUGCCUUUAAUGAUCUUGGAACUUACUCUAUAGUCUCCUCUUCAUGGGAAAAUGGAGUUUUAUGGAGAGAUCAACCUGGGAACUGUUAGAUCCUCUCUAUGCUUGGAAGAUCCUUGUAACCCAUCACAGAGAGCAAUUCAGAGAAGAAAAUUUGCACACUCUACUCCAAAGAGGACUACCCUGUGCCCUGGGUCAUUAUAAUCACCCCCAAAAUGAGAAUAAUAAAAGCAUGUUGUUAUUGAGAACUCAUAAUGGGUCAGAUAUGGAGCCCAGCAUUUUAUACAUAUUAACCCGUUUAAUUUCCACAACAGUCCUAUGAAAUUGGAACUAAUAUCAAUCUCAUUUUACAGGUUAGGAAACUAAGGCUCAAAGAGGUUAAGGGACUUGUCCAAAAUCAUGUUGCUGCUAAUAGCAGAAGCCGACUUCAACGUCAGUGCUUUUAACCACUAUGCUGUUAAAAAUGGAGACCAAUAUGAAGACCCUGUUGAGAUCUGAAGACCCAUCAGAGUAAAAGUAGUGAACUGCAUUGUCUAGCACACAGUAGCUACUCAAUAAAAACAGGAAUCUAGAGGGAUGCCUCAGAGAGAAUUCAGAAUAGGCUGGCCACACACUGAGUUAUUAAGGAGCAGUGGCUUUUAGGGACAGAGGAGGAACAUACUGAAUAGCUCUCCAAAGCAAUGAUGAAACCAGGUCAAUGACUACUGGCAGAGUGAGAGAAAGAUAAACAAGCAGGUCCCAAUAGACAGGCUGAGGGGCGCAUGUCACAAGGGGAACUGCCAGAAAUCCAUACCACGUUCCAAGAGUCUGUCUGCAUUGCUUAAUGGUUCUAGGACUAUGUGAAUGGAUCUCAUAUACUGCUGAAUUCCUGGUAUAAAGCUUUAAAAGGGUCAGUUCUGGGUCAAGUGAGCUGAGAGAAAGCUCUGCCUCCAACUUCUGAGGUCAGUUCUCCUUCAUAUUUGUGCCUGUUCCUCAUGGAAGGGAAGAAGGAAAGAGAUACCCGCUGACAUUUCAAUAUUUUCCCCUAGAACAUUUGACUAAGUCUUCCCCAGAUUCCUCUUCCCUAUGGACCUGUAGCCUUUGUAUUCUAGCCCAGUAUCUCCAGAAUCCUAACCUUUCCUUCCACUCCUUUGUCCACAUGGCUUGUUUCUUUUGAAAAACCUUCACAUCUCCCUAAACAAGAAUGGUUGCCCGCCAGCAACAAGGAAGCGUUGCUGUCCCUCAAAAAGGGUCUGGAAAGGCUGGUCUAUGGGACAGAAAGAAAAUCUGUCCUGUGAUGAAGACAUGUGAGGGCAGACACCAACCAAGAGCCAAGGGCAGGCACACUGCCUCCCAUGAGGAGGGAGGGGAGGGAGGAAAAAGGAAAGGAAGGGAGGGAGGGAGGGAGGGAGAAAGGGCAGGAAAGGAAGGAGGAAGGGAGGAAAGACACAGGGAGAGAGGAAAGGAGGGAGGGAGGUAGGGAAGGAAGGGACUUCCCUUCCCUGGGGAGGAUUACCUUGAUGGAUAGUUACAUCUGAUAUGAGGAUUUGGAGACCUCAGACCAUACUCAGGGCCUGCCAGUAGCCUUUGAAAAGUUUUUCUAUAGAAUGAGUCAAUAAUACAUUCUAUUAAUGACCUUGAUGGAUAUUUACAUCUGAUAUGAGGAUUUGGAGACCUCAGACCAUACUCAGGGCCUGCCAGUAGCCUUUGAAAAGUUUUUCUUAUAAAAUGAGUCAAUAAUACAUUCUAUUAAUGACCUUGAUGGACAUUCUGUGCUGUUUUGUUUUUUCAGCCCUAAGUCCCUUAAAAAUGUUCUGCUGAGUGGUCCUGAUAUCCAUCCCACUUUAUCUCUCUCCACUCCCAAGGGGGAUCCUCUACCCCAGUGAAGUCACCUUGUCUGAUCUUAUUACUGUCUUAUCUCACUGUCUUUUGUUAGAAUUAUGUAUCAGUCUGUCUCUCAAACUACAAUAUAAACCUAAAGACUAAUGUACUAGAUUUCCUAUUUGUCCCUCCAGGUCCACUUUCCACCUUCUCCAUCCUGCCCUUGGGAGGAUGAACUCUUCCGUUCCCCACCAACCCACCUUGGGUCCCUUGCACCUGUGGCUGCUGGUGGGUGUGACCAAUGGGAGGUGCAGAUGAAAGAUUGGAGGAUGAUAAGAGAGUCCAGGUAUUUAUUCCCUCCUGCCAGGCUGUGCUUUAAGCAGUGGUUGUGUUCUUCUACUAAAUGCCAUAGCUCCUAUCCGAUGUCCCCUCUCCAACAGCCACAGUGCAGAUCUGGUAGCCACUCCUUCCCUGUGCCCGUUCAGGCUGAGAGAUGUAAGGAUUUCCCCGUUGUUAAUCCCUGCAUACUGCACCAUCCCUUCCUGGUUCUCAGACUUAACCCACAGCUUUGUAAAGUGUCCACUCAUUAAAUCCCCUGUCAUGUAUUUAUUCAUUAUGGAUUAUUCACUUAGUGUGAAGCUGACACCGUGCUAGGCACACGCCAGUUUCAUGGUGGACAUGAGCCCUGUGUCACUUCUCCCUCCUUCCUGCUAGGGCCCUGGAACCCCAGCCCCAGCCCUAGAGAGGCGCCUCCUACCCAAUUCUUUUCCCUUUGCUAAUUCUACUGAAGGUGAUUGAUAUAUCUUUGGGUUUAGGCUUAGAAAUCUCUCUUACAAUGUAAAUAUGGCUUGUAGAAGAAGUACAUUCUUAUCUUGCUCAUUAUGGAAGUGAAUGAGCUUAUCAAACUUGUUGGAAAGAGCGGGUAAAUAUAGCAUAUUUUGAGAGCCUGCCAUUUACUUGCCAUUAUUGAAGUGUUACUGCUUCUGUGAAUCCCUCAAGACAGUGCAGUAGAUGUUGCUUUAGGUUCUGAAGAGGGAGGGGAAGCUUGGUCAUGGCAGUACUAAGGAGGGCGCUGAGGGUGAUGAGUGCAGGGCUGUGCAGACAGGAGAGUAAGUGGAGGGGAUUGUGCCCAAAGAUAGGGAAAGACCCUGAAAGGAAACUGGAUUCAUUCACAUAUUUGUGCAGGGCUGGUCUGGCCCACCCACUUCCUUCCUCCUCCUCCUCCUCCCUGCCUGCCAUUACUUCUCUACAUGAACCACUACUUCCUCCUCUUCUUUUCCUGCUGUUUUUACUCAUAUAUGUACAGUUCAGGUUACACAGGAAGCCC